UACGUAGGGUGCAAGCGUUGUCCGGAAUUAUUGGGCGUAAAGAGCUCGUAGGCGGUCUGUUACGUCUGCUGUGAAAACCCAGGGCUUAACCCUGGGCUUGCAGUGGAUACGGGCAGACUAGAGGCAGGUAGGGGAGAAUGGAAUUCCCGGUGUAGCGGUGAAAUGCGCAGAUAUCGGGAGGAACACCGGUGGCGAAGGCGGUUCUCUGGGCCUGACCUGGACGCUGAGGAGCGAAAGCGUGGGGAGCGAA
Molecule: ribosomal RNA, 250 nt
Filed under: uncultured bacterium
Lineage: Bacteria
Description: partial 16S ribosomal RNA
Rfam family: Bacterial small subunit ribosomal RNA
Source: RNAcentral